Heliconius melpomene (postman butterfly) is the source of this 61-nucleotide non-coding RNA. The record is from Rfam. Lineage: Eukaryota; Metazoa; Arthropoda; Insecta; Lepidoptera; Nymphalidae.
UAUCGGCGGGAGAAAUUGACUCGACUUUGUAACGUCAGUCAGUCUUUUUCUCUCUCCUAUA